Molecule: ribosomal RNA, 253 nt
Filed under: uncultured bacterium
Lineage: Bacteria
Description: partial 16S ribosomal RNA
Rfam family: Bacterial small subunit ribosomal RNA
Source: RNAcentral
UACGAGGGGGGCGAGCGUUGUUCGGAAUUAUUGGGCGUAAAGGGUGCGUAGGCGGUUUGGUAAGUCUUAUGUGAAAUCUACAGGCUCAACUUGUAGUCUGCAUGAGAAACUGCCGGGCUUGAGUAUGGGAGAGGUGAGUGGAAUUCCUGGUGUAGCGGUGAAAUGCGUAGAUAUCAGGAGGAACACCUGUGGCGAAAGCGGCUCACUGGACCAUAACUGACGCUGAUGCACGAAAGCUGGGGGAGCAAACAGG